Long non-coding RNA from Amphiprion ocellaris (clown anemonefish), 423 nucleotides. The record is from Ensembl. Lineage: Eukaryota; Metazoa; Chordata; Actinopteri; Pomacentridae.
CUUCUCUUUUAGGUCUUUUUUUCUUCACUUGGCCCAACAGAUUGUGAUGGUACUAUCUGCCUGGUGGAGCCCCUUCACACCACAACACACCUUGGAACUGAUGAAGAGGAUGAAGCUGUGUCUGCUGCCUUUACAGAGGGGGAUCCAGAAACACAUCUAGAGAGCAUGGCUGGACAGCAGCAGGAUGGUUCCUCAACUUCCACUGCAAAGACUGACACAGUGAGAUGGAUGUUCAGUAAACACCAGAGGUUCAGUCCGUGGAAUUUAUGUGCAACUGUAUAAUUUAAUCUCCUUUAUGUAUUCCCACUUACCAGUAAAACAAAUACACAAAAUCCACUUGCUGAAGAAAAAUACAAAAAACAGAUAAAGAAAUGCAGUACUUGCACUGCCAGAUUAAGAAGGCAGAUCUAGAAAUUGAAAUAC